Octopus sinensis (East Asian common octopus) is the source of this 95-nucleotide long non-coding RNA. RefSeq lists it as uncharacterized. The record is from RefSeq and is a predicted model, not a curated record. NCBI's taxonomy places the organism in Eukaryota, Metazoa, Mollusca, Cephalopoda, Octopoda, Octopodidae. The transcript is spliced from 3 exons.
UUUCAGAAAAGUUUUGUAAAUUUGUAUUCUACCCACAGGAAUUCAUAUGACCAUAAAAAAAAAUUUUUUUUUUUUUUUGCCUUAACUUUGUUUAA